Molecule: long non-coding RNA, 723 nt
Filed under: Homo sapiens (human)
Lineage: Eukaryota; Metazoa; Chordata; Mammalia; Primates; Hominidae
Description: HSALNT0214196
Source: RNAcentral
GAUGACCUUUGUUUGUUUAAACUGUUGGAAAAUCAAUAUUUAAAAUGAAAUCUAGAAACUGAAGUGUGCCCUCUGCAGGAUCACCAGAAUGAUGGGAAAACUGAACACAAUCAACUCAUGAACUCCCCAAGGUGCUUUUUUUUCUGAAGCUUUGGUAGUGUAACUGUAAGAGUCCUGGAAUUGGAAAAGCAAAUCCAGAAGUUGAGUUCCAUGACUUUUUUGCUGUUUGCCUUUGGACUUGCAUCAUUUAUAUUUUUAAUUCAUCGAGGAUGAGAAAAUUGAUUAACACAAAAUCUUUUCAUGUCUUUUCUGAUGAGAGACUAGCUGAAUCCAAGAAGAGAAGCCCUUGAAGAGUGUAUUCUAUUCUAGACAAGCAUUCACACAUUGGCUUCUUUGGUGCCAGGUAAUUAGAAUUUGUAAUUUGGUCUUAAUUAAACUGCAGACUACCCAAAGGCCUUGAUCAGUGGCCUUUUGACUGCCUCCACCGUUUGGAGGAAACAAACAAAACACAAAUUAGCCUUUAAAAAUAUGCCCAUUGAUUUCUCCUCAUCUCCCCAAACAUAUACAACCCCACCAGAUAUAUAUUUAUAUUGGCUAUAAAAAUAUGCCCAUUGAUUUCUCCUCAUCUCCCCAAACAUAUACAACCCCACCAGAUAUAUAUUUAUAUUGGGUAUAAUGUCAACAUAUAUCAAAUGUGCCAAUUAAACACAGAGCUCCUCUAAA